GCUGGUCUGAGAGGACGACCAGCCACACUGGAACUGAGACACGGUGGAACCAACGGGUGGCAGCAGUCGAGAAUUUUUCACAAUGGGGGAAACCCUGAUGGAGCGACGCCGCGUGGGGGAUGAAGGGCUUCGGUUCGUAAACCCCUGUCAUUGGCGAACAAGUGUUACGUUAUAAUACAGCGUGACUUGAUAGUAGCCGAAGAGGAAGGGACGGCUAACUCUGUGCCAGCAGCCGCGGUAAUACAGAGGUCCCGAGCGUUGUUCGGAUUCACUGGGCGUAAAGGGUGCGUAGGUGGUUGGGUAAGUUUGAGGUGAAAGCUCCGAGCUUAACUCGGAAAAUGCCUUGAAGACUAUCUGACUAGAGGAUUGGAGGGGAGACUGGAAUUC
Molecule: ribosomal RNA, 387 nt
Filed under: uncultured bacterium
Lineage: Bacteria
Description: bacterial SSU rRNA
Rfam family: Bacterial small subunit ribosomal RNA
Source: RNAcentral